ACUUUUCUAUGAUUUGUACACAACAAUAAUAAACCAUGUUUAUUUUUUUUAUUAACACAACACCAAAGUUCUUUCGCAACUAAAACAAAACUACACUUUAUAAACGAAGGAUAAGGAACCAACUGAAAUUGAAAUUACUAAGAAUAAAUCGUUAAAGAUAAUACAAUAAAAACUGUAAACUAAUAGAAAAUUAUUUCUAUUUGCACUAACUCUAAGUGUCAUUACUUUUGACAGAAUUGACAUUGUCGAGUUAAGCCUUGUUUGAUUAUUUUAUUUGUGAUAUUCAGGCAUGGUGUUUUAACAUAAAUGAUUGGUUAAAGUCUUCGUGAGCGAGAAAGGCUGUCAUUUCUCUUUAUUUAGCUGACCGGUGUGGAAGUGGUGGGGAAAUUCCCCAAUUUUUCCAUAUAAGAUUCCGGGGCAUGUUCUAUUCUAUUUCAGUUGCAACAUUGUCGUAGUAGUGUGAAGGUCACUGUGAAAAAAAUAUUGAUUUUAAAGAUGGUACGAAACUACAUAAAGAAAAUACCAGAACCUUCGUGGACGGAAGAAACUAUGAUAAAAGCUUUGGAAAUGAUAAAACAUUUAAAAAAUAAACAUUAAAAAUUAAUAUUUGUUUUCUAACUGUCAAGUUUCUAAAAUAUAUAAUUUCUACAAACACUAUUUUGAGCUUAUUUUGUCAAAAGUACUUCAAAAUUAAUUAUUAGAAGCACGGUCCUAUGUGCCCCAGUACUGAGGGGCACAGAGGACCAAUGUUGAUCAUAAAAAAAAUGGCUGUAAUUUUUUGUGACUAUUUGUAAUAUCAAAUGUAUGCUUGGAAACUAUUAAAGUACUAGAAAUA
Long non-coding RNA from Diabrotica virgifera virgifera (western corn rootworm), 835 nucleotides. RefSeq lists it as uncharacterized. NCBI's taxonomy places the organism in Eukaryota, Metazoa, Arthropoda, Insecta, Coleoptera, Chrysomelidae. The transcript is spliced from 2 exons. The record is from RefSeq and is a predicted model, not a curated record.